RNAcentral lists this small RNA (156 nucleotides) under Streptomyces qinglanensis. RNAcentral describes it as "c-di-AMP sequence". It matches the Rfam family "c-di-AMP riboswitch aptamer (ydaO/yuaA leader)". Rfam says of the family: This family represents a conserved RNA structure found upstream of the ydaO and yuaA genes in Bacillus subtilis and related genes in other bacteria. Lineage: Bacteria; Bacillati; Actinomycetota; Actinomycetes; Kitasatosporales; Streptomycetaceae. The record is from Rfam by way of RNAcentral.
GGACCGCGAUCGCCGAAUCCCCGAGGCAGCGGCCGAGGGGGACCGGGGACCCACGUCCCAUUGGGGUGAAUCGGACGGCCUCGCAAGAGGCGGUCCGUAGGAGACCUUCCUGCUCCGAACCCGUCAGCUAACCCGGUAGGCGAGAAGGAAGGAAAG